GAUGAAGAACGAAGCGAAAUGCGAUAAGUAAUGUGAAUUGCAGAAUUCAGUGAAUCAUCGAAUCUUUGAACGCACAUUGCGCCCGCCAGUAUUCUGGCGGGCAUGCCUGUUCGAGCGUCAUUACAACCCUCAGGCCCCCGGGCCUGGCGUUGGGGAUCGGCGGAAGCCCCCUGCGGGCACAACGCCGUCCCCCAAAUACAGUGGCGGUCCCGCCGCAGCUUCCAUUGCGUAGUAGCUAACACCUCGCAACUGGAGAGCGGCGCGGCCACGCCGUAAAACACCCAACUUCUGAAUGUUGACCUCGAAUCAGGGAGGAAUACCCGCUGAACUUAAGCAUAUCAAUAAGCGGAGGA
This 353-nucleotide unclassified non-coding RNA is filed under the name soil metagenome. Its description in RNAcentral is "partial contains 5.8S ribosomal RNA, internal transcribed spacer 2, and large subunit ribosomal RNA". The stretch from base 1 to 120 matches the Rfam family "5.8S ribosomal RNA", at positions 35 to 154 of the family's 154-position model. The record is from RNAcentral.